Molecule: ribosomal RNA, 253 nt
Filed under: uncultured bacterium
Lineage: Bacteria
Description: partial 16S ribosomal RNA
Rfam family: Bacterial small subunit ribosomal RNA
Source: RNAcentral
UACGUAGGGUGCGAGCGUUGCCCGGAUUUAUUGGGCGUAAAGAGCGCGUAGGCGGCUCGGCACGUCCGUUGUGAAAUCGCCCGGCUCAACUGGGCGGGGUCAGCGGAUACGGUCGAGCUUGAGCAAGCUAGGGGGCAAUGGAAUUCCCGGUGUAGUGGUGGAAUGCGUAGAUAUCGGGAGGAACACCAGUGGCGAAGGCGGUUGCCUGGAGCUUUGCUGACGCUGAGGCGCGAAAGCGUGGGGAGCGAUCCGG